This 516-nucleotide long non-coding RNA is filed under the name Nicotiana benthamiana. Its description in RNAcentral is "long non-coding RNA (NBEN_LNC017128)". The record is from RNAcentral. Lineage: Eukaryota; Viridiplantae; Streptophyta; Magnoliopsida; Solanales; Solanaceae.
UAAAAUACAAAAAGAAACAGAGUUAACCUACACUACAUCUAUUUCAUUAACAUCUAUUGAACUAUAGGCAACAUAUAACAUUCAAAUAAGCAUGGAUCCAUUAAACUUUUCCAUUUCAACUUCAAUUCAAAGCUACAUCAAGAUGAUUUGACGAAGUGUACCUGGAAAUGCAAGUAACAAAGGAGAAAUUAAUGAUCUGCAACAAAGAGUAUAGUAGCAGCAGCUACAACUAGUGUCUAGCAACCAGAUGACCAAAUAAACCCUGAGUGUUUUUGAAAACCCAAACAGGCCCAACUCAGACUGAAAUGUCCUCUAAACAACCCAGAACAAUCUCAACAAUCAAUUAUAACUCGAUUCAAGCAGCAACUAUCGGAACCGAACACCAAAUACUCAACAAAAACUUGAACUUAAACAAAGAUCUUAAUGGAACAGUAACUACCAUUUUUGAAUACUGUUUACUUCUUUUUCUUUCUGAAAUUGAGAUGGUCUUCUUCAAUUUGGACACCUGGAAAAGUG